GUAGGGGGGGGCGAGCGUUGUCCGGAUUUAUUGGGCGUAAAGGGGCUCGUAGGCGGGCGUUAGCAAGUCGAUCGUGAAAACCCAGGGGCUCAACCCUGGGACGCCGGUCGAAACUGCUAUGGCUAGGGUCCCGGUAGAGGUGAGUGGAAUUCUCGGUGUAGCGGUGAAAUGCGCAGAUAUCGAGAGGAACACCAUUAGCGAAGGCGGCUCACUGGGCCGGUACCGACGCUGAGGAGCGAAAGCGUGGGGAGCAAACAGGAUUAGAUACCCUGGUAGUCCACGCCGUAAACGUUGAACACUAGGUGUGGCGGACUUAUCCACGUCCGCCGUGCCGCAGCUAACGCAUUAAGUGUUCCGCCUGGGGAGUACGGCCGCAAGGCUA
This 382-nucleotide ribosomal RNA is filed under the name uncultured organism. RNAcentral describes it as "partial 16S ribosomal RNA". It matches the Rfam family "Bacterial small subunit ribosomal RNA", at positions 524 to 896 of the family's 1533-position model. The record is from RNAcentral.